This 69-nucleotide transfer RNA is filed under the name Psephenothrips eriobotryae. RNAcentral's name for it is "tRNA-Gln". Lineage: Eukaryota; Metazoa; Arthropoda; Insecta; Thysanoptera; Phlaeothripidae. The record is from RNAcentral.
UAUAUUUUAUUGUAAUUUUGCAUUUAAAUUUUUGAAAUUUAAGGGAUUAAUUUUAAUUAAUAAAUAUAA